UACGUAGGGGGCAAGCGUUGUCCGGAUUUAUUGGGCGUAAAGAGCGUGUAGGCGGCCGUACAGGUCAGCUGUGAAAACUCGAGGCUCAACCUCGAGACGUCGGUUGAAACCGUACGGCUAGAGUCCGGAAGAGGAGAGUGGAAUUCCCGGUGUAGCGGUGAGAUGCGCAGAUAUCGGGAAGAACACCCGUGGCGAAGGCGGCUCUCUGGGACGGUACUGACGCUGAGAAGCGAAAGCAUGGGGAGCGAACAGG
Molecule: ribosomal RNA, 253 nt
Filed under: uncultured bacterium
Lineage: Bacteria
Description: partial 16S ribosomal RNA
Rfam family: Bacterial small subunit ribosomal RNA
Source: RNAcentral